CCACAUCAAAUCAAUUCUAACUUUAGAGGUAUUCUAUAUACCAUAUCCUAGCUUAGAAACCAAAUCCAUCUAACCAAAAACUUAGCUAAUACCGUCUGACUCUCCCCUCUACUGAUUUCAUUUAGUACAAAUAUAAAAAAGUGUAGGCUUUACCUUGGUGGAAGUAUCGAUCAAAAGACACGUAGACUCUUACUCAAGCAAGUUUCUGAACACACAUGUAGUCUUUUCUAGUUCAGUUUCUCUCUCUCUUCUCACUUCUCUCAGUCAAUGUCUCCCUUCUUUAAUGGGUAUCAUUUUAUUUUUUCAAUUAACUGAGAUAUUUGGACAUGUUUCUAUGAAUCAAACUCUAAUGGUUGUAGCCAUCAGAUUAUGUUUACUUCUUUUUCUUUUUGACCUUUAUCUCUUUUUAUAUUUUUUAUGAAUCAAACUUUAAUAGUUGUAGCCACCAAGUCAUGUUCUAAUUUUUUUUUUUAAUGAAGGGGAGAGAGAGGGGAACUAGCUACACACUGACUUUUACUUUCCAGACUUGCAGGAGGAAUCCGAUCUAAUGUAUAUGAGAUUUGUAGAGUUCUCUUCUCUGGUUGAAUGUGUGUGUGUAUAAACUCCAAUGGAGAAAGAUGAGAGCUUGCUCUAGGUGAUUUAGAAAGAGAGAUUGAUGAGAGUGUUUAUGAGAGAAUAAGAGACUUAUGAACAAAGAUUAAGAUACUGAGAGAUUGGGAGAAUAAGAGAUUAGAGAUUAGGGUUUCAGAUUCAAGAACAAGUUUAUCAUUCAUGAAGUGGAGAGGGAAAAUCCCCCUUACUCCCUUGGGAGAUAUAAAUCGCCAUUACAUGGCUUAUAUAUGCUCUUACAAGAUGCAAAUCAUAAACCUAAAUCUAAUGGUUGAUCUUGCUUGAGAAUAUGGACGCCUAGGAUGUAGUCUUGGACUGGUCAAUGUAAUCUGAGUGAUGUCUCCUUAUUUGCUGAAGAUACAGCUCGGACAGGCUGGCUUGAAUGGAUGGGAUCGCUUCAGUUUGAACCAAGGGACAUGAUGGAUUCUUGUGUGGAUAGGGCUGUAAAGUGAAAGUGCCUUUCCCUUUCCAGCCUGUCUUGGACCACACAGAUCCUAUGGCA
This 1111-nucleotide long non-coding RNA is filed under the name Brassica rapa (field mustard). RNAcentral describes it as "long non-coding RNA (BRAP_LNC001215)". The record is from RNAcentral. Lineage: Eukaryota; Viridiplantae; Streptophyta; Magnoliopsida; Brassicales; Brassicaceae.